UUUAGGUUGGGGUGACCGCGGAGUAUAAGAUAUCCUCCAUGAAAAAAAGCUAACUGCCCUUAUUAGAGAAAGACACUUCCAAAAAAUAAUAAAUUAAUUUUAAAUGAUCCGACAUUCGAUCAACGAACCAAGUUACCCUGGGGAUAACAGCGCAAUCCGUCCCGAGAGCCCCUAUCGACAGGCGGGUUUACGACCUCGAUGUUGGAUCAGGGUAUCCUAGUGGUGCAGCAGCUACUA
This 237-nucleotide ribosomal RNA is filed under the name Boophis madagascariensis (Madagascar bright-eyed frog). RNAcentral describes it as "partial 16S ribosomal RNA". It matches the Rfam family "Bacterial large subunit ribosomal RNA", at positions 2268 to 2567 of the family's 2925-position model. The record is from RNAcentral. Lineage: Eukaryota; Metazoa; Chordata; Amphibia; Anura; Mantellidae.